AGAGUUUGAUCCUGGCUCAGGACGAACGCUGGCAGCGUGGAUAAGGCAUGCAAGUCUAAUCCGCUUUAGCGGAUGGCAGACGGGCUAGUAACACGUAAGAAUCUGCCCCAAAAUUUGGGGUAACCCGGAGAAAUCUGGGAUAAUACCGAAUGUGAUCUUCGGAUUAAAGGUCUAUUGUCUUUUAGACAAUAGAUCGUUUUGGGAUGAGCUUGCGUACUAUCAGCUUGUUGGUAGGGUAACGGCCUACCAAGGCGAUGACGGUUAGGGGGUGUGAGAGCAUGACCCCCAGCAUUGGCACUGAGACACUGGCCAAACACCUACGGGUGGCUGCAGUCAAGAACCUUCCACAAUGGGCGAAAGCCUGAUGGAGCGACGCUGCGUGCGGGAUGAAGGCCUUCGGGUUGUAAACCGCUUUUGUAGGGGAAGAAUCCGCCUUUGGCGGAUGACGGUACCCUUUCGAAUAAGAGGUUGCUAACUCUGUGCCAGCAGCAGCGGUAAUACAGAGACCUCGAGCGUUGUCCGGAUUUACUGGGCGUAAAGCGUCUGUAGGGGGCUUGUUAAGUCUUAAGUUAAAUCUUAAAGCUCAACUUUAAGUUCGCUUAAGAAACUAAUAAGCUAGAGCAUAGCAGAGGCGCAUGGAACUUGCGGUGUAGGAGUGAAAUCCUUUGAUAUCGCAAGGAAUACCAAAGGCGAAAGCAUUGCGCUGGGCUAUUGCUGACCCUGAGAGACGAAAGCGUGGGGAGCAAAACGGAUUAGAUACCCGUGUAGUCCACGCCGUAACGAUGAAUACUAGAUGUCCCGGGGUUUCGACCCCCUGGGUG
Molecule: ribosomal RNA, 821 nt
Filed under: uncultured organism
Description: bacterial SSU rRNA
Rfam family: Bacterial small subunit ribosomal RNA
Source: RNAcentral